Molecule: ribosomal RNA, 252 nt
Filed under: uncultured bacterium
Lineage: Bacteria
Description: partial 16S ribosomal RNA
Rfam family: Bacterial small subunit ribosomal RNA
Source: RNAcentral
UACGUAGGUCCCGAGCGUUGUCCGGAUUUAUUGGGCGUAAAGCGAGCGCAGGUGGUUUAUUAAGUCUGGUGUAAAAGGCAGUGGCUCAACCAUUGUAUGCAUUGGAAACUGGUAGACUUGAGUGCAGGAGAGGAGAGUGGAAUUCCAUGUGUAGCGGUGAAAUGCGUAGAUAUAUGGAGGAACACCGGUGGCGAAAGCGGCUCUCUGGCCUGUAACUGACACUGAGGGUCGAAAGCGUGGGGAGCAAACAGG